GCGAUACAGGGUGACAGCCCCGUACACAAAAAUGCACAUGCUGUGAGCUCGAUGAGUAGGGCGGGACACGUGGUAUCCUGUCUGAAUAUGGGGGGACCAUCCUCCAAGGCUAAAUACUCCUGACUGACCGAUAGUGAACCAGUACCGUGAGGGAAAGGCGAAAAGAACCCCGGCGAGGGGAGUGAAAAAGAACCUGAAACCGUGUACGUACAAGCAGUGGGAGCACGCUUAGGCGUGUGACUGCGUACCUUUUGUAUAAUGGGUCAGCGACUUAUAUUCUGUAGCAAGGUUAACCGAAUAGGGGAGCCGAAGGGAAACCGAGUCUUAACUGGGCGUUAAGUUGCAGGGUAUAGACCCGAAACCCGGUGAUCUAGCCAUGGGCAGGUUGAAGGUUGGGUAACACUAACUGGAGGACCGAACCGACUAAUGUUGAAAAAUUAGCGGAUGACUUGUGGCUGGGGGUGAAAGGCCAAUCAAACCGGGAGAUAGCUGGUUCUCCCCGAAAGCUAUUUAGGUAGCGCCUCGUGAAUUCAUCUCCGGGGGUAGAGCACUGUUUCGGCAAGGGGGUCAUCCCGACUUACCAACCCGAUGCAAACUGCGAAUACCGGAGAAUGUUAUCACGGGAGACACACGGCGGGUGCUAACGUCCGUCGUGAAGAGGGAAACAACCCAGACCGCCAGCUAAGGUCCCAAAGUCAUGGUUAAGUGGGAAACGAUGUGGGAAGGCCCAGACAGCCAGGAUGUUGGCUUAGAAGCAGCCAUCAUUUAAAGAAAGCGUAAUAGCUCACUGGUCGAGUCGGCCUGCGCGGAAGAUGUAACGGGGCUAAACCAUGCACCGAAGCUGCGGCAGCGACGCUUAUGCGUUGUUGGGUAGGGGAGCGUUCUGUAAGCCUGUGAAGGUGUGCUGUGAGGCAUGCUGGAGGUAUCAGAAGUGCGAAUGCUGACAUAAGUAACGAUAAAGCGGGUGAAAAGCCCGCUCGCCGGAAGACCAAGGGUUCCUGUCCAACGUUAAUCGGGGCAGGGUGAGUCGACCCCUAAGGCGAGGCCGAAAGGCGUAGUCGAUGGGAAACAGGUUAAUAUUCCUGUACUUGGUGUUACUGCGAAGGGGGGACGGAGAAGGCUAUGUUGGCCGGGCGACGGUUGUCCCGGUUUAAGCGUGUAGGCUGGUUUUCCAGGCAAAUCCGGAAAAUCAAGGCUGAGGCGUGAUGACGAGGCACUACGGUGCUGAAGCAACAAAUGCCCUGCUUCCAGGAAAAGCCUCUAAGCAUCAGGUAACAUCAAAUCGUACCCCAAACCGACACAGGUGGUCAGGUAGAGAAUACCAAGGCGCUUGAGAGAACUCGGGUGAAGGAACUAGGCAAAAUGGUGCCGUAACUUCGGGAGAAGGCACGCUGAUAUGUAGGUGAAGUCCCUCGCGGAUGGAGCUGAAAUCAGUCGAAGAUACCAGCUGGCUGCAACUGUUUAUUAAAAACACAGCACUGUGCAAACACGAAAGUGGACGUAUACGGUGUGACGCCUGCCCGGUGCCGGAAGGUUAAUUGAUGGGGUUAGCGCAAGCGAAGCUCUUGAUCGAAGCCCCGGUAAACGGCGGCCGUAACUAUAACGGUCCUAAGGUAGCGAAAUUCCUUGUCGGGUAAGUUCCGACCUGCACGAAUGGCGUAAUGAUGGCCAGGCUGUCUCCACCCGAGACUCAGUGAAAUUGAACUCGCUGUGAAGAUGCAGUGUACCCGCGGCAAGACGGAAAGACCCCGUGAACCUUUACUAUAGCUUGACACUGAACAUUGAGCCUUGAUGUGUAGGAUAGGUGGGAGGCUUUGAAGUGUGGACGCCAGUCUGCAUGGAGCCGACCUUGAAAUACCACCCUUUAAUGUUUGAUGUUCUAACGUUGACCCGUAAUCCGGGUUGCGGACAGUGUCUGGUGGGUAGUUUGACUGGGGCGGUCUCCUCCUAAAGAGUAACGGAGGAGCACGAAGGUUGGCUAAUCCUGGUCGGACAUCAGGAGGUUAGUGCAAUGGCAUAAGCCAGCUUGACUGCGAGCGUGACGGCGCGAGCAGGUGCGAAAGCAGGUCAUAGUGAUCCGGUGGUUCUGAAUGGAAGGGCCAUCGCUCAACGGAUAAAAGGUACUCCGGGGAUAACAGGCUGAUACCGCCCAAGAGUUCAUAUCGACGGCGGUGUUUGGCACCUCGAUGUCGGCUCAUCACAUCCUGGGGCUGAAGUAGGUCCCAAGGGUAUGGCUGUUCGCCAUUUAAAGUGGUACGCGAGCUGGGUUUAGAACGUCGUGAGACAGUUCGGUCCCUAUCUGCCGUGGGCGCUGGAGAACUGAGGGGGGCUGCUCCUAGUACGAGAGGACCGGAGUGGACGCAUCACUGGUGUUCGGGUUGUCAUGCCAAUGGCACUGCCCGGUAGCUAAAUGCGGAAGAGAUAAGUGCUGAAAGCAUCUAAGCACGAAACUUGCCCCGAGAUGAGUUCUCCCUGACCCUUUAAGGGUCCUGAAGGAACGUUGAAGACGACGACGUUGAUAGGCCGGGUGUGUAAGCGCAGCGAUGCGUUGAGCUAACCGGUACUAAUGAACCGUGAGGCUUAACCUU
RNAcentral lists this ribosomal RNA (2588 nucleotides) under Escherichia coli 3-073-06_S4_C3. RNAcentral's name for it is "bacterial LSU rRNA". It matches the Rfam family "Bacterial large subunit ribosomal RNA", at positions 354 to 2925 of the family's 2925-position model. The record is from RNAcentral. Lineage: Bacteria; Pseudomonadati; Pseudomonadota; Gammaproteobacteria; Enterobacterales; Enterobacteriaceae.